Molecule: ribosomal RNA, 769 nt
Filed under: uncultured Pseudoalteromonadaceae bacterium
Lineage: Bacteria; Pseudomonadati; Pseudomonadota; Gammaproteobacteria; Alteromonadales; Pseudoalteromonadaceae
Description: bacterial SSU rRNA
Rfam family: Bacterial small subunit ribosomal RNA
Source: RNAcentral
AUUGAACGCUGGCGGCAGGCCUAACACAUGCAAGUCGAGCGGAAACGAGUUAUCUAAACCUUCGGGGAACGAUAACGGCGUCGAGCGGCGGACGGGUGAGUAAUGCCUAGGAAAUUGCCCUGAUGUGGGGGAUAACCAUUGGAAACGAUGGCUAAUACCGCAUGAUGCCUACGGGCCAAAGAGGGGGACCUUCGGGCCUCUCGCGUCAGGAUAUGCCUAGGUGGGAUUAGCUAGUUGGUGAGGUAAGGGCUCACCAAGGCAACGAUCCCUAGCUGGUCUGAGAGGAUGAUCAGCCACACUGGAACUGAGACACGGUCCAGACUCCUACGGGAGGCAGCAGUGGGGAAUAUUGCACAAUGGGCGCAGGCCUGAUGCAGCCAUGCCGCGUGUGUGAAGAAGGCCUUCGGGUUGUAAAGCACUUUCAGUCGUGAGGAAGGUAGUGUGUUUAAUAGAUGCAUUAUUUGACGUUAGCGACAGAAGAAGCACCGGCUAACUCCGUGCCAGCAGCCGCGGUAAUACGGAGGGUGCGAGCGUUAAUCGGAAUUACUGGGCGUAAAGCGCAUGCAGGUGGUUUGUUAAGUCAGAUGUGAAAGCCCGGGGCUCAACCUCGGAAUAGCAUUUGAAACUGGCAGACUAGAGUACUGUAGAGGGGGGUAGAAUUUCAGGUGUAGCGGUGAAAUGCGUAGAGAUCUGAAGGAAUACCGGUGGCGAAGGCGGCCCCCUGGACAGAUACUGACACUCAGAUGCGAAAGCGUGGGGAGCAAACAGG